Bos taurus (domestic cattle) is the source of this 632-nucleotide long non-coding RNA. Lineage: Eukaryota; Metazoa; Chordata; Mammalia; Artiodactyla; Bovidae. The record is from Ensembl.
CUAACUCUCAGGAAGCCAGACUUCCGGCCCCUCCCCCAGCCCUGGGAGCAGCCGGAGCCCUGUGGGUGCAGUCAGAUCGCGAUGGGAACCAGCCAUCACAUCUCUGACAGUCCCGCAGGCCUGCUGACAGGAAAGCUGCGGAACCAAGGGAAGCAGCUUCUGACUGGAAAAGUGAAAGGAGCCAAAAGCCAAAAGGCUCAGAUUACUUGUAGGGGCUGGUCUGGGAGGCCCUCGUCCAAGCUCUCAGCUCAGAGGAGAUGACAAAGAGACUGAAGACAAGGAAGGUGAAAUCGAACCUGUCCUGGCAGUUGCUGAUCCAGUCGCCACCGCAAGGAGGAAGUCACUGCUGCGUGUGCUUCUGAAACUUCCAGCCAAGACCCAGAAUCGCAGAGUGGGGCCACAGCUUCUAGGCCAGCCAACAGGCAGCUGGGAACCAUGGGCUUCAGCAGGCUGCCCUGGAGUGGGAGGCAGGGCCCCUGCACCUCAAGGCUGCCGGCAGCACCUGGAGGACGAAAGACAUUGGAGGAAGUAAAGGUAAUCUUGCUUUGCACAGCAGCACAGGACCAUAAACAUAACCAUGCCAGCUGACGCCAUUCAAACUGACCUAAAUAGUCAAAGGGAAAAAUGAGGAU